ACGGGGCCGCACAAGCGGUGGAGCAUGUGGUUUAAUUCGAUGAUACGCGAAGAACCUUACCUGGUUUGAACUGUACUGACAGGUGUAGAGAUACACUCUUCUUCGGACAGGUAUAGAGGUGCUGCAUGGUUGUCGUCAGCUCGUGUCGUGAGAUGUUGGGUUAAGUCCCGCAACGAGCGCAACCCUUACUCCUUGUUGCUACCAGGUAAUGCUGAGCACUCUAGGGGAACUGCCGGUGAUAAACCGGAGGAAGGUGGGGAUGACGUCAAAUCAUCACGGCCCUUACGUCCAGGGCUACACACGUGCUACAAUGGCCGGUACAAAGAGCUGCGAUACCGCGAGGUGGAGCUAAUCUCAAAAAACCGGUCUCAGUUCGGAUUGUAGGCUGCAACUCGCCUGCAUGAAGUCGGAGUUGCUAGUAACCGCGCGUCAGCUAUAGCGCGGUGAAUACGUUCCCGGGCCUU
RNAcentral lists this ribosomal RNA (464 nucleotides) under uncultured Leptospiraceae bacterium. RNAcentral describes it as "bacterial SSU rRNA". It matches the Rfam family "Bacterial small subunit ribosomal RNA", at positions 917 to 1381 of the family's 1533-position model. The record is from RNAcentral. Lineage: Bacteria; Pseudomonadati; Spirochaetota; Leptospiria; Leptospirales; Leptospiraceae.